This 464-nucleotide ribosomal RNA is filed under the name uncultured bacterium. RNAcentral describes it as "partial 16S ribosomal RNA". It matches the Rfam family "Bacterial small subunit ribosomal RNA", at positions 28 to 507 of the family's 1533-position model. The record is from RNAcentral.
GACGAACGCUGGCGGCGUGCUUAACACAUGCAAGUCGAACGGAAAGGCCCAGCUUGCUGGGUGCUCGAGUGGCGAACGGGUGAGUAACACGUGGGCGAUCUGCCUCUAACUUCGGGAUAAGCUUGGGAAACUGGGUCUAAUACCGGAUAGGACAAUCGUUUAGUGUCGGUUGUGGAAAGUUUUUUCGGUUAGGGAUGAGCCCGCGGCCUAUCAGCUUGUUGGUGGGGUAAUGGCCUACCAAGGCGUCGACGGGUAGCCGGCCUGAGAGGGUGGACGGCCACAUUGGGACUGAGAUACGGCCCAGACUCCUACGGGAGGCAGCAGUGGGGAAUAUUGCACAAUGGGCGCAAGCCUGAUGCAGCGACGCCGCGUGGGGGAUGACGGCCUUCGGGUUGUAAACCUCUUUCGACAGGGACGAAGCUUUGGUGACGGUACCUGUAGAAGAAGCACCGGCUAACUACGUG